UACGGAAGGCAGCAGUGGGGAAUAUUGCACAAUGGGCGCAAGCCUGAUGCAGCCAUGCCGCGUGUAUGAAAAAGGCCUUCGGGUUGUAAAGUACUUUCAGUCGUGAGGAAGGUGUUAAGGUUAAUAACCUUAGCAAUUGACGUUAGCGACAGAAGAAGCACCGGCUAACUCCGUGCCAGCAGCCGCGGUAAUACGGAGGGUGCGAGCGUUAAUCGGAAUUACUGGGCGUAAAGGGCACGCAGGCGGUUAAUUAAGUUGGAUGUGAAAUCCCCGGGCUUAACCUGGGAAUGGCAUUCAAGACUGGUUAGCUAGAGUCUUGUAGAGGGGGUAGAAUUCCAUGUGUAGCGGUGAAAUGCGUAGAGAUGUGGAGGAAAUACCGGUGGCGAAAGGCGGCCCCCUGGACAAAAGACUGACGCUCAUGUGCGAAAAGCGUGGGGAGCAAAACAGGGAUUAGAUACC
RNAcentral lists this ribosomal RNA (459 nucleotides) under uncultured bacterium. RNAcentral's name for it is "bacterial SSU rRNA". It matches the Rfam family "Bacterial small subunit ribosomal RNA", at positions 340 to 786 of the family's 1533-position model. The record is from RNAcentral.